Molecule: ribosomal RNA, 1475 nt
Filed under: Candidatus Pelagibacter sp.
Lineage: Bacteria; Pseudomonadati; Pseudomonadota; Alphaproteobacteria; Candidatus Pelagibacterales; Candidatus Pelagibacteraceae
Description: bacterial SSU rRNA
Rfam family: Bacterial small subunit ribosomal RNA
Source: RNAcentral
AAACUUGAGAGUUUGAUCAUGGCUCAGAACGUACGCUGGCGGCACGCCUAACACAUGCAAGUCGAACGAAGUAGCAAUACUUAGUGGCAGACGGGUGAGUAACAUGUGGGUAUCUGCCCUUUGGCCUGGAAUAACACGAGGAAACUUGUGCUAAUACCGGAUAAGUCUUUACGGAGAAAGCUUUAUGCACCAUUGGAUGAGCCCGCACUUGAUUAGUUUGUUGGUGGGGUAAUGGCCUACCAAGACUGUGAUCAAUAGCUGAUUUGAGAGGAUGAUCAGCCACAUUGGGACUGAGACACGGCCCAAACUCCUACGGGAGGCAGCAGUGGGGAAUCUUGCACAAUGGAGGAAACUCUGAUGCAGCGAUGCCGCGUGAGUGAAGAAGGCCCUUGGGUUGUAAAGCUCUUUCGUCGGGGAAGAAAAUGACUGUACCCGAAUAAGAAGGUCCGGCUAACUUCGUGCCAGCAGCCGCGGUAAUACGAAGGGACCUAGCGUAGUUCGGAAUUACUGGGCUUAAAGAGUUCGUAGGUGGUUGAAAAAGUUAGUGGUGAAAUCCCAGAGCUUAACUCUGGAACUGCCAUUAAAACUUUUCAGCUAGAGUAUGAUAGAGGAAAGCAGAAUUUCUAGUGUAGAGGUGAAAUUCGUAGAUAUUAGAAAGAAUACCAAUUGCGAAGGCAGCUUUCUGGAUCAUUACUGACACUGAGGAACGAAAGCAUGGGUAGCGAAGAGGAUUAGAUACCCUCGUAGUCCAUGCCGUAAACGAUGUGUGUUAGACGUUGGAAAUUUAUUUUCAGUGUCGCAGCGAAAGCGAUAAACACACCGCCUGGGGAGUACGACCGCAAGGUUAAAACUCAAAUGAAUUGACGGGGACCCGCACAAGUAGUGGAGCAUGUGGUUUAAUUCGAAGAUACGCGCAGAACCUUACCAACACUUGACAUGUUCGUCGCAACUCUAAGAGAUUAGAGUUUUCGGUUCGGCCGGACGAAACACAGGUGCUGCAUGGCUGUCGUCAGCUCGUGUCGUGAGAUGUUGGGUUAAGUCCCGCAACGAGCGCAACCCUCACUUUUAGUUGCCAUCAUUAAGUUGGGCACUCUGAAAGAACUGCCAGUGAUAAGCUGGAGGAAGGUGGGGAUGACGUCAAGUCCUCAUGGCCCUUACGUGUUGGGCUACACACGUGCUACAAUGGUAUCUACAACAGGAAGCAAGACUGCGAGGUCAAGCAAAUCCUUAAAAGAUACCUCAGUUCGGAUUGCACUCUGCAACUCGAGUGCAUGAAGCUGGAAUUACUAGUAAUCGUGGAUCAGCGUGCCACGGUGAAUGCGUUCCCGGGUCUUGUACACACCGCCCGUCACACCAUGGGAGUUGGUUCUACCUUAAGGCAAGGUUUCAAACCCUUGACCACGGUAUAGUCAGCGACUGGGGUGAAGUCGUAACAAGGUAGCCGUAGGGGAACCUGCGGCUGGAUUACCUCCUUU